Molecule: long non-coding RNA, 277 nt
Organism: Bubalus bubalis (water buffalo)
Lineage: Eukaryota; Metazoa; Chordata; Mammalia; Artiodactyla; Bovidae
Exons: 3
Source: RefSeq, a predicted model, not a curated record
CCUCUGUCCAUGGGAUUUUCCAGGCAAGAGUACUGGAGUGGGGUGCCAGCAUCUUAAAAAUCCUUGAUCCCAGCUGACACAUUCAGAGGUAUAGUGGACAGUUCUCUGGAGCUCAUCCACAGCAUUGAAUGCUUUUACUUUGAGAUCCCGACCUUCUAACAGUAACAGAGCUUGGAUGGUGACCUAACUGUUGGGAAGAUAUUCCUUUGGAAUGAUGGAGGAUGAGAUGGCUGGAUGGCAUCGCCGACUCGAUGGACGUGAGUUUGAGUGAACUCCG